GGGGGCGAAUUGGAUUCGACGUUUAUACUGGACUCCAAAACGCAUGCCAAGAAUGUGAUAAAUCUUGUAAAACAUAUCACAAAUAAAUAGUUGCAAAUAACGACAACUACGCUUUAGCCGCUUAAUUGGCUAACCAUUGUAAUAAUUGGCUGUGAUUAGAAGCAAUGGAAAUUUCACAGCCUAGAGAGCUUACGGUGUCUGUACGUGAAAUCUUGAAUAUUAUUCACAGACUAGUCUUAAGUUCCUGCUUAUUGGAUAGCUUAGGAUAAAGAUUGUAAAUAAGCUAAGCAUGUAGAAGUUAGGUUGAAGGAUGAGCGGACGCGGGUUCGAUACCCGCCGCCUCCACCA
This 348-nucleotide transfer-messenger RNA is filed under the name Gammaproteobacteria bacterium. It matches the Rfam family "transfer-messenger RNA". Rfam says of the family: Bacterial tmRNA, also known as 10Sa RNA or SsrA, is named for its dual tRNA and mRNA-like properties. The record is from RNAcentral. Lineage: Bacteria; Pseudomonadati; Pseudomonadota; Gammaproteobacteria.